UACGGAGGAUGCAAGCGUUUAUCCCGGAAUGAUUGGGGCGUAAAGCGUCCGCAGGUGGCUAUGUAAGUCUGCUGUUAAAGAGUCUAGCUCAACUAGAUAAGAGCAGUGGAAACUACAUGGCUAGAGUGCGUUCGGGGCAGAGGGAAGUUCCUGGUGUAGCGGUGAAAUGCGUAGAGAUCAGGAAGAACACCGGUGGCGAAGGCGCUCUGCUAGGCCGCAACUGACACUGAGGGACGAAAGCUAGGGGAGCGAAUGGGA
RNAcentral lists this ribosomal RNA (258 nucleotides) under uncultured bacterium. RNAcentral describes it as "partial 16S ribosomal RNA". It matches the Rfam family "Bacterial small subunit ribosomal RNA", at positions 524 to 777 of the family's 1533-position model. The record is from RNAcentral.